UCAGGCGACUAUGGCGCCGGGGCUACACCUCUUCCCAUCCCGAACAGAGAAGUUAAGUCCGGUUGCGCCGAUGGUACUGCAUUUUGUGGGAGAGUAGGAAGUUGCCGAUU
Molecule: ribosomal RNA, 110 nt
Filed under: Dysgonamonadaceae bacterium
Lineage: Bacteria; Pseudomonadati; Bacteroidota; Bacteroidia; Bacteroidales; Dysgonomonadaceae
Source: RNAcentral